Oncorhynchus keta (chum salmon) is the source of this 599-nucleotide long non-coding RNA. RefSeq lists it as uncharacterized. Lineage: Eukaryota; Metazoa; Chordata; Actinopteri; Salmoniformes; Salmonidae. The record is from RefSeq and is a predicted model, not a curated record. The transcript is spliced from 3 exons.
CAGCUCUGGAUUCAGGUUAUAAUGCCAUCUUUAUCUCUCUGCCACACAGCUCUGGUUUCAGGUUAUAAUGCCAUCUUCAUCUCUCUGCCACACACAGCUCUGUUUCAGGUUAUAAUGUCAUCUUCAUCUCUCUGCCACACACAGCUCUGGAUUCAGGUUAUAAUGCCAUCUUUAUCUCUCUGCCACACAGCUCUGGUUUCAGGUUAUAAUGCCAUCUUCAUCUCUCUGCCACACACAGCUCUGUUUCAGGUUAUAAUGUCAUCUUCAUCUCUCUGCCACACACAGCUCUGGAUUCAGGUUAUAAUGCCAUCUUUAUCUCUCUGCCACACAGCUCUGGAUUCAGGUUAUAAUGCCAUCUUCAUCUCUCUGCCACACACAGCUCUGGUUUCAGGUUAUAAUGCCAUCUUCAUCUCUCUGCCACACAGCUCUGGUUUCAGGUUAUAAUGCCAGCUAAGCACAACCAGCCGAGGCUACGUAUUAAUAUGCAUUAUAUGUACACAUAGAAACAUAGUCUGGGCAGACAGCUAGCGGUAAUUAGGCAUGAGCGAGCAAAUACACACACACACACACACACACACACACACACACACAUUUAUUAU